Molecule: long non-coding RNA, 949 nt
Filed under: Equus caballus (horse)
Lineage: Eukaryota; Metazoa; Chordata; Mammalia; Perissodactyla; Equidae
Description: lncRNA (ENSECAG00000030566.3)
Source: RNAcentral
GUUCACGUAAAGGAAAACAGAGAAGGCCAUCCCAGACACAUACACAACUAUAUGAAAACCAAGCCCAUUCCCUACUAUGCUCAUCUAGCAAGGGCAAUAGGUGGCACACCACAAGCUCCUGUGGGGCAGUUACACAAGCUGGCCUAUUAUUUGAAGAAGGACUGCAAAGAUUCAGAGCAAUUUGCUUUGGGAAAAAUGACAUCAGAAGUGAUAUUCAAUUACUCCUUUUAGAUGGAUUUCCAGAGAGACUGACUUUGUUCAUGAGCAACGACACAUCUUCUACACAGAUGGAUGGGAAGAAAGAAGAGAGAGGUGUAGACAAAGAUACAUUUCUAAGUGUGUUUGCAAGGGGGCCAGGAGGCAGACAGCAUGUGACCUGGGGUCCUCUGUGUUCUCUGUACAGCAGGAGAUGAGAACAUGCUGAGUGUUGGAGAAGUGGUGGUCAUCCCACUUGCUGUCCUGUGAUCCCCCACCCCACCUCUGGGACGUUGCCUCUUUUUGCUCUUGUAUCUUCAAUGCCUUUCUUCCUACCAGUUCUUCCAUUCAGCUGGUUAACAACCCCAAGAUUCUUUUAUUCCUCCCUCCAAAAGUUCCCCUGACUCUCAUCCUUCAUUCCCUCUUUCUUGAAACUCUCUCCUACAUGGUUCCUGGGACACCGUAUUCUCUUGGUCUACCUUAUUAUCCUAUUCGAUCUCUAUUUUAUUUUUGAGUUCUUCUCAGACGCUCUUUCCCAGAUUUCUCUACCCUGUUUCUCCUCACUGACUGCUGCAGUCAGCCUCCUUGAAUGUAUGUCUCUCAAUUCUAGCUGCUGUCCUAAGCAAGGCUUGAGCAGAACACCAGGUAUUGAGUAUAAUUAAAAUAUGCUUAUCCUCUCAGAAAUCUAUGUUCAGAAGCACCCUUAAUCCUUUUGCUGCUUGCAUUACACUCAACCUUACAAAAUAAAGUGAUA